GUGGGUAGAUAUACUCAAGUGUUAGACAGAGUAGUAGCACUGCAGAGGUUAAUGAUCUGAAGGCAGAGAUAAAAGAGUUGAAGCAGAGCCACCAGACAGAGAUGCAAUCUUUGAGGGCUCAGAUUAAUCAGAUUACAUCUUUGUUGCAUCAGUUUGUCCCUCCUCAGGUUCCUGAUAGUUCAUUUGCACGUAGAGAUGGUGAUGCUAGCGACCCCUGAAGCAUUUAUUUUGGAGUUUAUAUGUAUUUUUUUAUGCUUUUUGAAGUACAUUGUAAACGUAAAUUGAUAGUAUGAAUGUAAUUUGACAAUAUGAAUGUUUAGAUAAAUAUGUUUGAUUUUGUGUAUA
This is a non-coding RNA of Phoenix dactylifera (date palm), 345 nucleotides long. NCBI's taxonomy places the organism in Eukaryota, Viridiplantae, Streptophyta, Magnoliopsida, Arecales, Arecaceae. The record is from RefSeq and is a predicted model, not a curated record.